Cercocebus atys (sooty mangabey) is the source of this 1478-nucleotide long non-coding RNA. RefSeq lists it as uncharacterized. The record is from RefSeq and is a predicted model, not a curated record. The transcript has 4 exons. Lineage: Eukaryota; Metazoa; Chordata; Mammalia; Primates; Cercopithecidae.
ACUUCAUGAGUAAUAAACAACACCACCGGGCUCUUCCUGAAACUUAGAUCCCCAUAACCAACAAGAGCAGCUGGUGUUUUCUGAGGGCCUCCCUAAAGACCCACAGCUCUGUGAUAGACAGGACCUCAUGUAUCCCCAUAUGUCCUCAUGAGCCAGGGGGAGACGGGUGGCCAAAGGGACUCUCCUCCUUAUUUUAAAGGUGGAGACACUGAAUCACAGAGGGGAGACAGGGCUUGCCAGAAGGGAGUGGCAAGGACUGAAACAGGUUGCAUUAUCUGCCAGGAUACCACAAGACCUCUCCACUCCUCACCCGUGUCCAUGAAAGAAAGAAUACAUUCCUAAGUCUCCCAAAGCAGCUGGACUGGAGGUGGCUCCACAGCAAUUGUUUAAAGAAAAAGCAGUGGCCCUGAUGGGAAGGAGCCCAAUGGCCAGGGUGAACACAGUUUGGCCAUAAUCUGCAGGCUGGCCUCCCUGUGAGCUGCCCUGCACCGAGAUAACACAGCAGGCUGUGCUGGACACAACUGGCUGCCUGUGGACUCCACCUUUCCCCCAUGCUGGGUUCCAAACACAAGAUAGCAAAGACACUGUUUGCCUAGAGAGCCUGGUUUUAACCCCAUGCUAGCUAUGGCAAGGCCCAGCUGGGGGAUUUCUCUCCUUCCCUGCUUCAGGCGGGGAAGGUCCACUGAGCAGAGAGCUUGCCGGGUGAGCCUGCCAGGUAAGAAGGCUCAUCUGCCUGCGCAGAGGGAUGUAGCUGACUACAGCCUCCUCAGAGGGUCUCCCCAGGCAGGACCUCAGGCUUGGAUUCUAGGAACCUCUUUGGAGAUAGCCCAGAUAGAUGGGCAACGUCCUGACAGUUCCUUCUAGCCCAGGCCUGGUGACUGGCUUCUGCAGAGAAUGUUAGAGCUGAAAGGACCCUAAAGAGCCACCACUCUGCAUUUUACACACGAAGAAACCAUGACCCAGAGAGACUGUGACAGAUCCAGGGCUACCAUUUGGUAAUGGCAGAGACAGACUGGUUUCCAGGAAUUCCGGAAACGUUUGCUCCACCAACCUGCACACAGAAAGUCAAAUUAAGGAGGUCCUUGGAGAAGGUCAAACAGGGAGAAUGGACUCCACUGUCACUGCCCCAAAACAAGACAAAUGCGGAUACCGAGGGGAUGGAGUACCUGGGAUUUACAACAAUACAGCAAGAUUCAAAACCUGGCUGAGACCUGGCGCAGUGGCUCACAUCUGUAAUCCCAGCACUUUAGGAGGCCAAGUGCUCCAGAUCCAGGAGUCCCGGUGUCAUGCCAUCAGCCCAGGAGUGAAAUCAACAGAGCAGUCCAUGACCGACUCAUAAUGAACAUGUAUUACAAAUGAAAAAUAACCUUUCUUAUUGUAAGCCACCAAGAUUUUAUGAUUGUUAUCACAGCAUAACCACACCCACCUUGAUGUUGUUUUUGUACACUAGUUGUGUCCAAUAAAGUUGAUUAGACAGG